GGGCUGGUCUGGCCAGAGUCCUGACCCAUUCUCAGCGUGAUAUGGUGCAGGUCUCUGUGCCUCUCUGAGCCUCGGUCUCUUCAUCCAUCCCACCGAGGUGAUAAUAGUCCCCUGGCUCAUCGUCAGUGCUCAGCCCUUGACCUUUGCAAUAAAAUUGCUAAUUGCCAUGGUAGCUAAUUACUAUCAGGAGAUCCGGCUUGCCAUUUCAGGCACCCAGAAGAAACCACAGAAUCAAGCUUGGUCCAACUUCAGAGAAUGUCAGAGUGGUCCAAUAUUUCCUCUUCCUUCUGUCCCAGCCACAGAACUCAAGGUAUUCUCAAGCCCUGAAGCUUGUCUGGAGUUCAAGGUGAAAAGACAUGUCAGGAGUGAAAGAGAAGGAAAGAUCACCAGCAGCAGCAAAGACCGUGAAGAGGACAUCAGUGCUGGAUGGACAGGUGGCAUCUGAGUGGACCUUCAGGGUGGUUGGAGCCACGCAGGCCAAGAUGGCAUUCCAGAGGAAUGAAGGAGGUUCCGCCAAGGUUUGGAGGUAGAAAAUGGUGUCUCAGUGCUUUUAGGUGGACAGAAAAGAGUGGCCCAUUUUAGCUGUAGCAAAGAACUGAAGAUUGAAGGGCAGAUACAAGGAAAUCAAG
This 629-nucleotide long non-coding RNA is filed under the name Marmota monax (woodchuck). Lineage: Eukaryota; Metazoa; Chordata; Mammalia; Rodentia; Sciuridae. The record is from RNAcentral.